UGCGUAGGGUGCGAGCGUUAAUCGGAAUUACUGGGCGUAAAGCGUGCGCAGGCGGAUUGUUAAGCAAGAUGUGAAAUCCCCGGGCUUAACCUGGGAAUGGCAUUUUGAACUGGCAAUCUAGAGUGUAGCAGAGGGGGGUGGAAUUCCACGUGUAGCAGUGAAAUGCGUAGAGAUGUGGAGGAACACCGAUGGCGAAGGCAGCCCCCUGGGCUAACACUGACGCUCAGGCACGAAAGCGUGGGGAGCAAACAGG
Molecule: ribosomal RNA, 253 nt
Filed under: uncultured bacterium
Lineage: Bacteria
Description: partial 16S ribosomal RNA
Rfam family: Bacterial small subunit ribosomal RNA
Source: RNAcentral